RNAcentral lists this long non-coding RNA (203 nucleotides) under Bos indicus x Bos taurus (hybrid cattle). RNAcentral's name for it is "lncRNA (ENSBIXG00000023723.1)". The record is from RNAcentral. Lineage: Eukaryota; Metazoa; Chordata; Mammalia; Artiodactyla; Bovidae.
UGUGAACAUUCGCUGUUCUUGUUUCCUGUCAAUUCCAUCCAUUUCUCCAGCAUAUUUUUUGCUCACUUCAAGAGGACAGAGCAGCCCCACCCCAGCUGCCUCCUGUCAGCUCACAGCCUGAAACAACAGAAUCAACUCUGAACUCAUGUCACAAACAAGAAGCCACAGGUAAGUCCUCAGCAAGAGGCAUGUGCCCCAGCCAC